Molecule: ribosomal RNA, 1115 nt
Filed under: Halobacillus trueperi
Lineage: Bacteria; Bacillati; Bacillota; Bacilli; Caryophanales; Bacillaceae
Also listed under: 1 other name
Description: bacterial SSU rRNA
Rfam family: Bacterial small subunit ribosomal RNA
Source: RNAcentral
ACUGCAGUCGAGCGCGGGAAGCGAGCUGAUCCCUUCGGGGUGACGCUCGUGGAACGAGCGGCGGACGGGUGAGUAACACGUGGGCAACCUGCCUGUAAGAUCGGGAUAACUCCGGGAAACCGGGGCUAAUACCGGGUAAUACUUUCUUUCGCAUGAAGGAAAGUUGAAAGAUGGCUUCUCGCUAUCACUUACAGAUGGGCCCGCGGCGCAUUAGCUAGUUGGUGAGGUAACGGCUCACCAAGGCGACGAUGCGUAGCCGACCUGAGAGGGUGAUCGGCCACACUGGGACUGAGACACGGCCCAGACUCCUACGGGAGGCAGCAGUAGGGAAUCUUCCGCAAUGGACGAAAGUCUGACGGAGCAACGCCGCGUGAACGAUGAAGGUCUUCGGAUCGUAAAGUUCUGUUGUUAGGGAAGAACAAGUACCGUGCGAAUAGAGCGGUACCUUGACGGUACCUAACGAGGAAGCCCCGGCUAACUACGUGCCAGCAGCCGCGGUAAUACGUAGGGGGCAAGCGUUGUCCGGAAUUAUUGGGCGUAAAGCGCGCGCAGGCGGUUCCUUAAGUCUGAUGUGAAAGCCCACGGCUCAACCGUGGAGGGUCAUUGGAAACUGGGGAACUUGAGGACAGAAGAGGAGAGUGGAAUUCCACGUGUAGCGGUGAAAUGCGUAGAUAUGUGGAGGAACACCAGUGGCGAAGGCGACUCUCUGGUCUGUUUCUGACGCUGAGGUGCGAAAGCGUGGGUAGCAAACAGGAUUAGAUACCCUGGUACUCCACGCCGUAAACGAUGAGUGCUAGGUGUUAGGGGGCUUCCACCCCUUAGUGCUGAAGUUAACGCAUUAAGCACUCCGCCUGGGGAGUACGGCCGCAAGGCUGAAACUCAAAGGAAUUGACGGGGGCCCGCACAAGCGGUGGAGCAUGUGGUUUAAUUCUAAGCAACGCGAAGAACCUUACCAGGUCUUGACUCCUUGGACCUCCCUAGAGAUAGGGAUUUCCCUUCGGGGACAAGUGACAGUGUGCAUGGUUGUCUCACUCGUGUCGUGAGAUGUGGGUUAGUCCCGCAACGAGCGCACCCUGAUCCUAGUGGCAGCUUCAUUGGNCUUCUAAGGUGACUGC